RNAcentral lists this ribosomal RNA (230 nucleotides) under uncultured microorganism. RNAcentral describes it as "partial 16S ribosomal RNA". It matches the Rfam family "Bacterial small subunit ribosomal RNA", at positions 524 to 753 of the family's 1533-position model. The record is from RNAcentral.
UACAGAGGGUGCAAGCGUUAAUCGGAUUUACUGGGCGUAAAGCGCGCGUAGGCGGCUAAUUAAGUCAAAUGUGAAAUCCCCGAGCUUAACUUGGGAAUUGCAUUCGAUACUGGUUAGCUAGAGUGUGGGAGAGGAUGGUAGAAUUCCAGGUGUAGCGGUGAAAUGCGUAGAGAUCUGGAGGAAUACCGAUGGCGAAGGCAGCCAUCUGGCCUAACACUGACGCUGAGGUG